RNAcentral lists this non-coding RNA (31 nucleotides) under Mus musculus (house mouse). Lineage: Eukaryota; Metazoa; Chordata; Mammalia; Rodentia; Muridae. The record is from RNAcentral.
AAGGAAAUCGUCUACAGGUUGUUAUUUCUUG